This 253-nucleotide ribosomal RNA is filed under the name uncultured bacterium. RNAcentral describes it as "partial 16S ribosomal RNA". It matches the Rfam family "Bacterial small subunit ribosomal RNA", at positions 524 to 776 of the family's 1533-position model. The record is from RNAcentral.
UACGUAGGGUGCAAGCGUUAAUCGGAAUUACUGGGCGUAAAGCGUGCGCAGGCGGUUAUAUAAGACGGUUGUGAAAUCCCCGGGCUCAACCUGGGAACUGCAUUUGUGACUGCAUGGCUAGAGUACGGUAGAGGGGGAUGGAAUUCCGCGUGUAGCAGUGAAAUGCGUAGAUAUGCGGAGGAACACCGAUGGCGAAGGCAAUCCCCUGGACCUGUACUGACGCUCAUGCACGAAAGCGUGGGGAGCAAACAGG